UAAUUUUUUACAAUAAUUAGUUCUAAACUGUUCAAUUCAGUUUUAUCUGAAGGGCUUAUAUUUACUAAUUUUUAAAGCUUGAAAAAUAAAAUUAUUUAUUGUUUACAUUCAUUUCUAUAAAAUUACUUAGUAUUUUAACUGUAAGGGUUAAUGAUAAAUUUUUAAAAAGAAAAUUUUUUUAUUGUACCUUUUGUAUCAGGGUUAAUUAAUUUUAUUUUUUUAAAAAAAUUUUCCCGAAAAUUUCAAGAUUUUAAUUUUUUUGUUUUUAAUUGUUUCAAAAAUUUUAAAAAAAUUAAUUAAGUUUUGAAACGAAAAUCGUUUAUUUAGAUAUCUGGUUAUUAAGAAAUUAAAUUUAAUUUAGAUGAUUUAUAUAUAAAAGAUUAUUUUUUAAUUAUAUUUUUAUUCAUUAAUUUAAAUUGGGUUAAUCUAAUUUAAUUUUUAUAAUUUUUUUUUACUAGGGAAAUUGUAGGAUUAAAAUUUUUUUUUAUUAAAUUUUGUUUUAAAAUAUUCCUAUUUUUUAAAAAAUUAUUUAAUUUUUUACUUAAUUAAUAAAUUAAAUUAGAUUUUUUGUUAAAAAUGAUAAAAUUAGUAGAUUUAAAAUUUUAAUUUAUGAAUUUGGCAUUAUUUUUUUCGCCUGUUUAACAAAAACAU
RNAcentral lists this ribosomal RNA (651 nucleotides) under Megamelus notulus. RNAcentral describes it as "partial 16S ribosomal RNA". The record is from RNAcentral. Lineage: Eukaryota; Metazoa; Arthropoda; Insecta; Hemiptera; Delphacidae.